Molecule: ribosomal RNA, 406 nt
Filed under: Clostridioides difficile
Lineage: Bacteria; Bacillati; Bacillota; Clostridia; Peptostreptococcales; Peptostreptococcaceae
Description: bacterial SSU rRNA
Rfam family: Bacterial small subunit ribosomal RNA
Source: RNAcentral
GUGAGCCAGUACAGGAUGGACCCGCGUCUGAUUAGCUAGUUGGUAAGGUAACGGCUUACCAAGGCGACGAUCAGUAGCCGACCUGAGAGGGUGAUCGGCCACAUUGGAACUGAGACACGGUCCAAACUCCUACGGGAGGCAGCAGUGGGGAAUAUUGCACAAUGGGCGAAAGCCUGAUGCAGCAACGCCGCGGGAGCGACGUAGGCCUUCGGGCCGUAAAACUCUGUCCUCAAGGAAGAUAAUGCGGGGACUUGAGGAGGGAGCCCCGGCUAAUGACGGGCCACACGCCGCGGUAAUACUGAGGGGGCUAGCGUUAUCCGGAUUUACUGGGCGUAAAGGGUGCGUAGGCGGUCUUUCAAGUCAGGAGUGAAAGGCUACGGCUCAACCAUAGUAAGCUCUUGAAACU